RNAcentral lists this ribosomal RNA (188 nucleotides) under Haemaphysalis longicornis (longhorned tick). RNAcentral's name for it is "Eukaryotic large subunit ribosomal RNA". It matches the Rfam family "Eukaryotic large subunit ribosomal RNA", at positions 2134 to 2313 of the family's 3401-position model. Lineage: Eukaryota; Metazoa; Arthropoda; Arachnida; Ixodida; Ixodidae. The record is from Rfam by way of RNAcentral.
CCGACUGUCUAAUUAAAACAAAGCAUUGCGAGGGCCGCUGGUCGGUGCUGACGCAAUGUGAUUUCUGCCCAGUGCUCUGAAUGUCAACGUGAAAAAAUUCAAAAAAUCGCGGGUAAACGGCGGGAGUAACUAUGACUCUUUUGUGGCUAUAACUCUCUUGUUGGGUUGGGAGAGUCGAUGGUUACGAG